UUUUUUUUUUUUUUUUAAGGGCCACACCCGCAGCAUAUGGAGGUUCCCAGGCUAGGGGUUCAAUCGGAGCUGUAGCUGCAGGCGUACACCACAGCCACAGCCACACCAGAUCCAACCUGCAUCUGCAACCUACACCACAGGUCACGGCAACACCAGAUCCUUAAUCCACUGAGUGAGGCCAGGGAUCGAACCCACAACCUCAUGGAUGCUAGCUGGGUUUGUUAACCGCUGAGCCACAAAGGGAAUUCCUGCUACAUUUCUUUUUUGCACGAUUAAGAAGACUUCUUUUUUUUUUUUUUUUUUGGUCUUUUUCCAGGGCCACACCCAUGGCAUAUUGAGGUUCCCAGGCUAGGGGUCUAAUCAGAGCUGUAGCCACCAGCCUACUCCAGAGCCACACAACACGGGAUCUGAGCCGCAUCUGCGACCUACCCCACAGCUCACGGCAACGCCAGAUCCUUCACCCACUGAGCGAGGCCAGGGAUCGAACCCGCAACCUCAUGGUUCCUAGUCGGAUUCAUGAACCACUGCGCCACGACGGGAACUCCAGGAUUAAGAAGACUUCUAAUUCCUCCUCUAAUUCAUGUUACCCUUGUGGAGAAGACCCAUUCGAAAUCCCAGACCUGGCAUAAAGAUUUUAAACUGAAGACAUUUGAGAUUCAACAGAUGCAGAAAAAAGCCUUCUUGAGCUUCCCUUAUCGGACUAAAAGCAACUUCUGGGAAAUGAAGCUGCCAUAAAUCCCCUCUCGGGGGAGUUUUAUGGUCCUGAUGGAGACAGAAAGACUGCUCAUACCUGCAUGGAUGAUCAUUCUCACAAACUUUCUUAUCUCCUGCCUGGUCUUCUAAAAACCCGUCUGUUUUUCUUAAAUAAACCUAUUUGUUUUUCCUAAAGAAGCUGUUCCCACCCCCUCCCUUUACUAGGCUCGGUCUGUAAACCUUUAACCAUUUAAAGAGCCAGAUAGUUCUUUUGUUGGUUCCUGUAUGCAGAGGAAAAGAACCAUUUUCUCCUGUUAAACUGUCUCUUGGCAGUUUAAUUUAUAGGCCCCCGGGGAUUUAUCUCAGCGGGUAGCAGGGAAAGGGUUUUUUUUUUUUUUUUCUUUUCCUUCCCCACCCCCUCUAAGGAAAUGCGAGCAUCUCCUUUGUUUGAAAACAAGAAACAGCUUUGCUCCCCCUGGUGGUCACUGGGAGGUUCUGUCCAAACUGCAGGAAAACACAGUUGGAUGGCCGGCCGCCAAAGCCUGGUUCUGCUGUGCGACCUUGGGCAACUCAUUUGAGGAACUCCUUUGACGUGACUCUGGGUCUUUUGUGCCCCACCCUGGAAAAUGAGGACAGUCAUAGUUCCUGUGCGCUGCUUGUGAGGGGUUGCAGGAGUGACUGUGAAACACUUAGACCAGAACAGGUGUCUUUAAUAAAUGUCAGCUCCUAGUGCCCGCCUUUUGCAGCAGAGGGUCCCAAUUUAUUUUUUCUAAAACGGCCUCACAUGGGACACCAAUGAAAGUGCCCGUUGUUGACUAUUUGCAGUAUGGCUGGUGCUACUUUAGGUAUCUUCUCACUUAACCCUUAGGACAAUCCCGAAAGGUAAAGCCAGGGGUCAAGCCACGUUCCCUCUGACGCUGAAGCCCACACUGUGCCAUCCCUGCUUCUUCGACAACUAAAUGUUUGUUCAGCACCCACCAGGAAGCAUGGAGAUCCACAGUCGCUUUCCAAGUUUACCAUUCAAGUUUAAAUCUUAGGAAUGAAAAGUUAAGGCAUCACGAGCCACCCGCCCUCUGUGCCCCCUACCGUGCAGAGCUGUGGCCACGUCUUUGUGGGGCAUGGCUGGUUAGGAGACGCGGUCUCUGUGCUUGCCACCAGCUUAUCCUCAGACUGUCUCCUUUCUCCCAAAACCCUUUUAUUUGGAAAAUAAAGCCUUACCUCUGUAUUUGCCUGGAGGUAGAUGGCCUUCUAUUUCGUCUCGCCUGCGUGGCAAACUGCUCCAUCAUCGUCAGAGGCACGCGUUCAGCCACCCUUUACCAAACGCCCACUGUGUGUCCGACCUCCGCCCGGCCUCGGGGACCGAGGGGAAGGACCUCCAGAUAAAACAUAGGCCGUGCCCACAAUGCACAGCGAAGCCCGUUAACAAGGUCACGUGCGCCAGGUGCCAGAAUAAGUUGUGAUUCAACACAUUUGUGGGGGGAGAAGAGUCAAGCCAAUUUUCCAAGACAGUUGGCGUUUGAUGGAAUGGGGAAAGCACUCAAGGCCUUGGGAACAGAGGCGGGAAAGCGUGUCCUGUUACUGGGGCUUCGUGGGAGGGUUUUCUGCCCACGGCCAGAGCACGGGAGACGGCGGUGGGGAGCGACGAGAUGCAGAAGGCAGAUGGAGACCAGAUUGUGGCGUGUUUUGAUGGGAUCGUGAAGGAGGUGGACUUUGUCUUGCAGGCUCCAGGGAAAAGAGGGCAUCCGUAGUUUCUCAGCAGGGACGUGCCUGCGACAAGAUGUGAUUUCUGAGCCAGGAAGGGGGCCGUGUGAAGGAGGCGGGGAGGUGGAGAUGGAACCCAAGAAGGGGGAUAAGGGCCGGAGCUGAGCUGGUGAGGCUGCACAAACUGGAGACACGUGUGAGAGUCCACAAGCCCGGGAGCCCCGGGGGUGCAGACUUAGCAAACAGACGCUGGGUUCAAUGGGAAUGCCAGAUAAACAACAAAUCCUUUUUUUGGAAAUUGAAGCAUAGCCGAUUCACAGGAGCAGGGUCGUUUCAGGUGUAUAGCACAGUGAUUGGCACUGUGAUGGGAUUUAUACAUAUAUAUGCUAUACGUACACAUCUAUCUCUCUGUGCUAUACGUAUACAUACAUAUUCUUUUUCAGAUUCUUUCCCCUUAUAGGUUAUGACAAAAUAUUGAGUAUGGUUCCCUGCUAUACAGUAGGUCCUUGUUAUUUACACAUAGUAGUCUGUAUAUGUGAAUCCCAACCUCCUAAUUUAUCCCCCCCCCCCCCCCCCGUCCCCUUUAGCAACCUAAGUUUGUUUUCUAUGUCUGUGGGCCUCUGUUUGGUAAAUAAGUUCAUCUGUGUCUUAACAAAUCCUUUAUUUUUUAUGUUUUUGUUUUUUUUUUUCAGGGGCGCACCCGUGGCACAUGGAGGUUCCCAGGCUAGGAGUCGAAUUGGAGUUACAGCCGCUGGCCUACACCAUAGCCACAG
RNAcentral lists this long non-coding RNA (3167 nucleotides) under Sus scrofa (pig). RNAcentral describes it as "lncRNA (ENSSSCG00035017852.1)". The record is from RNAcentral. Lineage: Eukaryota; Metazoa; Chordata; Mammalia; Artiodactyla; Suidae.